GUAAUGGCCUACCAAGGCGACGAUCCGUAGCUGGUUUGAGAGAAUGACCAGCCACACUGGGACUGAGACACGGCCCAGACUCCUACGGGAGGCAGCAGUGGGGAAUCUUGGACAAUGGGCGCAAGCCUGAUCCAGCCAUGCCGCGUGAGUGACGAAGGCCUUAGGGUUGUAAAGCUCUUUUGCCGGGGACGAUAAUGACGGUACCCGGAGAAUAAGUCCCGGCUAACUUCGUGCCAGCAGCCGCGGUAAUACGAAGGGGACUAGCGUUGUUCGGAAUUACUGGGCGUAAAGCGCACGUAGGCGGAUUUGUAAGUCAGGGGUGAAAUCCCGGGGCUCAACCUCGGAACUGCCUUUGAUACUGCGAAUCUCGAGUCCGAUAGAGGUGGGUGGAAUUCCUAGUGUAAAGGUGAAAUUCGUAGAUAUUAGGAAGAACACCGGUGGCGAAGGCGGCCCACUGGAUCGGUACUGACGCUGAGGUGC
RNAcentral lists this ribosomal RNA (480 nucleotides) under uncultured bacterium. RNAcentral describes it as "bacterial SSU rRNA". It matches the Rfam family "Bacterial small subunit ribosomal RNA", at positions 257 to 754 of the family's 1533-position model. The record is from RNAcentral.